Molecule: ribosomal RNA, 484 nt
Filed under: uncultured bacterium
Lineage: Bacteria
Description: partial 16S ribosomal RNA
Rfam family: Bacterial small subunit ribosomal RNA
Source: RNAcentral
AGUGAACGCUGGCGGCGUGCUUAACACAUGCAAGUCGAACGAGAACGGGCUAUAGCUUGCUAUAGUUGUCAGCUAAGUGGCGCACGGGUGAGUAAUGUAUAGGUAAUAUGCCUCUUACUAAGGGAUAACAAAUGGAAACGUUUGCUAAUACCUUAUACUCCUUAUUAACAGAAGUUAAUAAGGGAAAGAUUUAUUGGUAAGAGAUUAGCCUGUAUUGUAUCAGUUAGUUGGUGGGGUAAUGGCUUACCAAGACUAUGACACAUAACUGGUUUGAGAGGAGGAUGAGUCACACUGGAACUGAGACACGGUCCAGACUCCUACGGGAGGCAGCAGUGGGGAAUAGUGCACAACGGACGAAAGUCUGAUGCAGCAACGCCGCGUGGAGGAUGACACAUUUCGGUGCGUAAACUUCUUUUAUAUGAGAAGAUAAUGACGGUAUUAUAUGAAUAAGCACCGGCUAACUCCGUGCCAGCCGCCGCGGUAA